UUCUCAAUAGUUCAGUAGUUAGAGUGCUUGCAUAGUAUGCCAGAUGCUCUGGGUUCGAGUCCUAGUUGAGACU
RNAcentral lists this transfer RNA (73 nucleotides) under Magallana gigas (Pacific oyster). RNAcentral describes it as "Crassostrea gigas (Pacific oyster) tRNA". It matches the Rfam family "tRNA". From Rfam's summary of the family: Transfer RNA (tRNA) molecules are approximately 80 nucleotides in length. The record is from Rfam by way of RNAcentral. Lineage: Eukaryota; Metazoa; Mollusca; Bivalvia; Ostreida; Ostreidae.